GUUAUACCACACGCCAUGACCGGUAAUGAUGUCAUUGGGUGGCUGAUUCAGAAAUACAACAUAACAGAGGAAGAGGCGGGCCACCUGGGAGGACUCCUGGUGCAGUAUGGGUACAUCUAUCCUCUGAAGGAGCCGCGCUCUCUACUACUGCGAUCUGAU
Long non-coding RNA from Coregonus clupeaformis (lake whitefish), 159 nucleotides. RefSeq lists it as uncharacterized. The record is from RefSeq and is a predicted model, not a curated record. The transcript is spliced from 3 exons. Lineage: Eukaryota; Metazoa; Chordata; Actinopteri; Salmoniformes; Salmonidae.